Molecule: ribosomal RNA, 128 nt
Filed under: Periophthalmus magnuspinnatus
Lineage: Eukaryota; Metazoa; Chordata; Actinopteri; Gobiiformes; Gobiidae
Source: RNAcentral
CGCCGUGGCACCCCUGUGGUGGAGGGAUAUGUGGUUAUUUGACUAUCCAACCUUGUCUAUGCUAAGCAGAGUUGAGCCUGAUUAGUACUUGGAUGGGAGACAGAUGGGAAUACCAGGUGCCACAGUGG